GUCCCAGACCCGGCCGCCGCACCAGCAGC
This 29-nucleotide small RNA is filed under the name Bombyx mori (domestic silkworm). RNAcentral describes it as "ovarian small RNA-17732". The record is from RNAcentral. Lineage: Eukaryota; Metazoa; Arthropoda; Insecta; Lepidoptera; Bombycidae.